CUAUACAUGACUCUGCGCAUAUCAAUAAGCGGAGGAAAAGAAACUAACAAGGAUUCCCCUAGUAACGGCGAGUGAAGCGGGAAGAGCUCAAAUUUGAAAUCUUAAAGGGUUUCCCUUUACGAAUUGUAGUUUAAAGAAGUGUUUUCUGUUGAGGUUUUGGUAAAAGUUCUUUGGAAUAGGACAUCAUAGAGGGUGAGAAUCCCGUAUUUGACCUUUACUUUCAACUUUGUCGAUACACUUUCAAAGAGUCGGAUUGUUUGGGAAUGCAGUCCAAAAUGGGUGGUAAAUUUCAUCUAAAGCUAAAUAUUGGCGAGAGACCGAUAGCGAACAAGUACCGUGAGGGAAAGAUGAAAGGAACUUUGAAAAGAGAGUUAAACAGUACGUGAAAUUGUCAAAAGGGAAGCGUUUGACACCAGUGUUGUUUUUCUGAAAAUCAAUUAAAGAACUGUUUAUGCUAAGUUGUUUAGACUUUAUCAGCUAUCUGUUUAGUUUUGAGCUUUUCUUUAAUGCACUUUUCAGUUAACAAGUCAACAUCAAUUUCUUUUGCUGUAAAAAAGCUUGAGGAAGGUGGCUUGAGAUUCGUCUUAAGUGUUUAUAGCCUCUUGCCUAUGCAGUCGGAGAGAUUGAGGUCUGCAGCGUAGAUCCUUCGGGGCUAAAUGCAUUUGUGCUAAGUUAUAGCAUUUUAUAGACAACUUGUUGACUAUGAUUUGUCUUGUAGCUUACUCGCUUAUGUUAUUUUACCUACGCUUAGGAUGUUGAUCUACAGAGCGAGAGU
RNAcentral lists this ribosomal RNA (775 nucleotides) under uncultured Neocallimastigales. RNAcentral describes it as "partial large subunit ribosomal RNA". It matches the Rfam family "Eukaryotic large subunit ribosomal RNA", at positions 22 to 635 of the family's 3401-position model. The record is from RNAcentral. Lineage: Eukaryota; Fungi; Neocallimastigomycota; Neocallimastigomycetes; Neocallimastigales.